Molecule: long non-coding RNA, 1023 nt
Organism: Panicum virgatum (switchgrass)
Lineage: Eukaryota; Viridiplantae; Streptophyta; Magnoliopsida; Poales; Poaceae
Exons: 4
Source: RefSeq, a predicted model, not a curated record
UACUGAUGCAGCACUAUUCUUUUAGCAGAUUAGCAGAAUUCUCAUCUUGACAUGGAUGGACCUCAUUGUAGGUACUUCGGUUUGUCAUCGGCUGAGAUAUUACUGCCGUCCUAGGAAAGAAAGUACAAUCCUACAGUGGAUUAGAGAGGUUUCAGCAGUAAGCAAAGCCGUGUUGCCGAGAUCACAGCCUCAAAGAUAAGGUGCUGGAGUUGUUGUUUCUCUUGCUAUCCUCUAGAUUUGUGUGCCUAGAACUAGAAGAUAGGAGUAAGAUCAAUGAAUGAACUUGAUCAGUCCAAUUCACCAGGUCUAUUUGAUCAUCUUUUGGUAAAUGAAGACCAAACAGGUAAUUGAUGCAGAUCAUUGCUACCUUGCCUAACCUUUUUUACAUUGCUAAUAUAAUUAUUAUUAUUGUGUGAGCUCAACUUCCAUUAUCUAUAUCUGAUAUAUUAUGAGCUAUAGAAAAGCAAAAUCUUGCCUGUACUUCCACCAUCUGGAACCAUGCAUAUCUCAUGUUCAAAUACUGCAAAUUAGUUGUUUAGUAGUAGUUAAAAAAGUUAAUGUCUUUUUUAUUCCGGGCUCCUAAGGGGAUUUGAUUUAAUUUAAAGAGAUCUUUGGAUCUUAUCAUUUUUCUAGAUGCAUGUGGGAUAGGCUCAUGAUUUGUACUGAUGCAGUGAUGACGCCGAUUUCUGUAGAAAGUUGGCAAAGGGGGAAUCAGUCAUGGUGUUGCCUGGGACUGCCUUAGGCGUUCAAAAUUGGCUGCACAUAACCUUUGCUUCGGAUCCAGCAAAGCUGAAGCAAGGAAAGGUUGAGAUGCUGGACAUAACCCUGAUGCAUAGGAAAGCCUGGUGCUCUUGGAUGUGUUGUAAUAUUCAUUAUUCAACAGACAUCUGAUGGCUAGGCCUAUGAUAGCUUCGUGAUCGGAUAUGUUGUAGUAUUUAUGAUUCAAAUGUCGGAUAGAUAUCUAUAUUGCCAUGCAUAUAGUUUAACUAAUACUUUUUAUUGUCUUAUAAUUACUGAUACCUG